Pelobates cultripes (western spadefoot toad) is the source of this 231-nucleotide non-coding RNA. The record is from the annotation of a GenBank genome assembly. NCBI's taxonomy places the organism in Eukaryota, Metazoa, Chordata, Amphibia, Anura, Pelobatidae.
GGUUUACAUGCAAUGGGUAGUAGUCCCUUAAUAAGCAUUAACUCCCACACCGUUGGGGUUUCUGGGGUCAAAUUGGGCCCAGCAUCUCUACAGUAGUGUUUGGUCAGAAACGACCGUAGUUGGAUAUAGGAGUAGUGUGAUGUAGGAGGCAGUGAGUAUCGGGUUUGCAGCUCUUCAAAGCUAAGCAUUUUGCCCUGAUUGUACAGAUGCGUCAGGUGGGUGACACCCCGG